CACAUGGUUUGGCUGCCAUUUUGUUUUUCUGCCGAAGGGAAUUUGAGGAGUUUAUUGCCGUAAAACUUCUCUUUUUCAACCCAGCCAUGUCGAAACGAAGGCUAGACGUCGCUGGAAAUAUGAACAGUGGCUUAUCUACUGCUAAAAGGAUCAAAGAAGAGCUAAGUAAUCCUUCCAAUCUUCGAGGGAAAAUCAACCCCUACAAUGGCCGCCCGUUUUCUGACCGUUACUUUGACAUACUACGCAAGAGAAUUGAACUUCCAGUCUGGGAAUACAGAGAACAAUUUAUGGAAAUUGUCAAGAAAAAUAGAGUGCUUGCUCUUGUAGGUGAAACCGGAUCAGGAAAAACCACUCAGAUUCCCCAGUGGUGUUUAGAGGUGAGGACAGACAAAACCAAGAAAGUUGCUUGUACUCAGCCCAGGAGAGUAGCAGCAAUGAGUGUAGCGCAACGUGUUGCUGAUGAGUUAGAUGUAGUGUUGGGACAAGAAGUGGGUUAUACCAUUCGUUUUGAAGAUUGUACAGGUCCCAGAACAGCAAUGAAGUACAUGACAGAUGGUAUGUUGUUACGAGAAGCCAUGACAGAUCCUUUACUAGAACGAUACAGUGUAAUACUUCUUGAUGAGGCUCAUGAGAGGACACUAGCUACAGAUAUCUUAAUGGGUCUACUAAAAGAGGUUGUAAAACAAAGACAAGAUCUCAAGAUUAUUAUCAUGAGUGCUACCCUAGAUGCUGGAAAAUUCCAGGAAUACUUUGAUAAUUGUCCACUUAUGACCAUCCCAGGAAGAACACAUCCUGUAGAAAUCUUUUAUACUCCAGAGCCUGAAAGAGAUUACUUAGAAGCCGCAAUCCGUACUGUUAUUCAAAUACACAUGUGUGAAGACAUUCCUGGGGACAUCUUGUUGUUUCUGACAGGACAAGAGGAGAUUGAAGAAGCCUGUAAAAGAAUAAAGAAAGAAAUAGAGAACCAUGGCAUUGAUGUUGGAGAACUGAAGUGUAUUCCUCUCUAUUCCACCCUUCCUCCACAACAACAGCAGCGUAUAUUCGAACCAGCACCUCCCAACAGACCUAAUGGUGCUAUAGGACGCAAGUGUGUCAUAGCUACAAACAUUGCCGAAACGUCUUUGACUAUCGAUGGUGUGGUUUUUGUGAUUGAUCCUGGAUUCUCUAAGCAAAAAGUAUACAACCCUCGUAUCAGAGUAGAGUCUCUACUAGUGUCUGCUAUAUCCAGAGCUAGUGCACAGCAGCGUGCAGGUCGUGCAGGCCGUACUCGCCCAGGAAAGUGUUUUAGACUUUACACAGAGAAGGCUUAUCAAUCAGAGAUGCCUCAAAACACAUAUCCUGAGAUCCUGAGGUCUAAUCUUGGUACUGUUGUGCUACAGUUGAAGAAGCUAGGUAUUGAUGAUCUGGUACAUUUUGAUUUUAUGGAUCCUCCAGCUCCAGAAACUUUAAUGCGUGCUCUUGAACUCCUCAACUAUCUUGGAGCAUUGGAUGAUAAUGGUGACUUGACGGAACUCGGCAACAUGAUGGCAGAGUUUCCUCUGGAUCCACAGUUAGCCAAGAUGGUUAUCGCUAGUUGUGAAUUCAACUGUUCUAAUGAAAUUCUGUCUAUUACGGCUAUGCUGUCAGUUCCUCAGGUUUUCUUGAGACCAAAUGAAGCCAAAAAGGCUUCUGAUGAGGCAAGAAUGAAAUUUGCUCACAUUGAUGGUGACCACCUGACCCUAUUGAAUGUCUAUCAUGCCUUUAAACAGAAUCAUGAUGAUGCACAGUGGUGCUAUGACAACUUCAUCCAACAGCGUUCUCUGAAAUCUGCCGACAGCAUCCGAACACAGCUGGCACGUAUAAUGGACCGUUUCAAGAUGGCACGUAAGAGUACAGACUUCAACAGCCGUGACUACUACUUGAACAUCAGGAAGGCAUUGGUGUCUGGAUUCUUCAUGCAGUAUUGUAGAUACUGACCUAACAAUCUGUGAAUCCUACCCACCACCUACCCUUUCUCCCGCAACCCUACACUUUGUACUUCAAUGUACUGUGAGUAGGUGGCACAUCUAGAAAGAUCUGGACACUACUUGACAGUCAAGGACAAUCAGGUUGUGCAGCUUCAUCCAUCAACAUGCCUGGACCACAAGCCAGAGUUUGUAUUGUACAAUGAAUUUGUAUUAACUACCAAGAACUACAUCAGAACAGUC
Molecule: unclassified non-coding RNA, 2186 nt
Filed under: Actinia tenebrosa (Australian red waratah sea anemone)
Lineage: Eukaryota; Metazoa; Cnidaria; Anthozoa; Actiniaria; Actiniidae
Description: putative pre-mRNA-splicing factor ATP-dependent RNA helicase PRP1, transcript variant X2
Source: RNAcentral